Molecule: ribosomal RNA, 253 nt
Filed under: uncultured bacterium
Lineage: Bacteria
Description: partial 16S ribosomal RNA
Rfam family: Bacterial small subunit ribosomal RNA
Source: RNAcentral
UACGGGGGGUGCAAGCGUUAUCCGGAUUCACUGGGUUUAAAGGGCGCGUAGGAGGACAGGUAAGUCAGUGGUGAAAUCUCCGAGCUUAACUUGGAAACUGCCGUUGAUACUAUCUGCCUUGAAUAUUGUGGAGGUGAGCGGAAUAUGUCAUGUAGCGGUGAAAUGCUUAGAUAUGACAUAGAACACCAAUUGCGAAGGCAGCUCGCUACACAUAUAUUGACUCUGAGGCACGAAAGCGUGGGGAUCAAACAGG